This 418-nucleotide ribosomal RNA is filed under the name uncultured bacterium. RNAcentral's name for it is "partial 16S ribosomal RNA". It matches the Rfam family "Bacterial small subunit ribosomal RNA", at positions 360 to 772 of the family's 1533-position model. The record is from RNAcentral.
AAUAUUGGACAAUGGGGGCAACCCUGAUCCAGCCAUGCCGCGUGUGUGAAGAAGGUCUUCGGAUUGUAAAGCACUUUAAUUUGCGAGGAAGGGCUUUAGGUUAAUACCCUGUUGUCUUCACGUUACCAACAGACUAUGCACCGGCUCACUCUUUGCCAGCAGCCGCGGUAAUACAGAGGGUGCAAGCGUUAAUCGGAAUUACUGGGCGUAAAGCGCGCGUAGGUGGUUCAGUAAGAUGGGUGUGAAAUGCCCGGGCUUAACCUGGGAACUGCUUUCAUAACUGCUGAGCUAGAGUACGGUAGAGGGUAGUGGAAUUUCCUGUAGCGGUGAAAUGCGUAGAUAUAGGAAGGAACACCAGUGGCGAAGGCGACUACCUGGACUGAUACUGACACUGAGGUGCGAAAGCGUGGGGAGCAAA